AUUACGACGAUGUUGAGAAUAAAAAAUAUUCGGAGUAGACGAUAAUUCUAUGGAUUUGUUACAUUAAUGUACGUAUAAUAAAUUUAAUACAAUUCUAAUUAACAUUGUGCUAAUGGAUAUAAAUGAAAAACAAUCAUAACUUCACGAAUUUCAACGCAUCGGUUAAUUAAGAAUAAAAACAUCGGAACAUUUCUUUGCUAAUGUAAAUACAUGCAUGCAUAUGCACACACACAAAGUUGAAGAACGACCAGGCAUGACAGGUUAUGUUUAUUAUCUCAUUAGACUUCUCUUUACAAUUGCAUGCACUCGAUGUAAAUAGAUAUGAUGCAAUGCAUGAAGAACAUAGCCCUAAGAAAGACGUUUGCCAUCAUCCCAUUCUUUCCAUCGUUUUAGAAAAACGUUCACCAUUGAAAUCAUACUAAUUAAUGGUAGAAGAUACAGCUACAUACUUACAUUCAAGUAUUUCUUUCUUUCUUUUCUUUAAUUUUAGGAAUAUAUUAAUAUCUAAAUAGAUCUCCGACGCAGCAACCACCCCAUGGUGAAAUCUGGUAACCAAUAUUGCUUAUGGUGUCUAUAGAAUAUAUAUGGUACAACGUAAGCAUAUGAAUGAAAUGAUUGAUUGAAUGAAUUAUUUAAUUACACGUUACAAUUUUAGUUUAAAUUUUAUUAAUUUAAAUUCAUUUUAUUUCUUAUGGUAUAUUAAAUUAACAUAAAUAAUUCAAGACACGUUUAAUCGAUUUUAAUUAAUUGUUUAAAUGAUUAUUUAUAAAUAUUGUACCUUGUUUAGUUUUACA
RNAcentral lists this long non-coding RNA (794 nucleotides) under Polistes canadensis. RNAcentral describes it as "uncharacterized LOC106792675, transcript variant X1". The record is from RNAcentral. Lineage: Eukaryota; Metazoa; Arthropoda; Insecta; Hymenoptera; Vespidae.